GGGCGAUUAGCUCAGUUGGUUAGAGCGCCACCUUUACACGGUGGAUGUCGGGGGUUCGAAUCCCUCAUCGCCCACCU
RNAcentral lists this transfer RNA (77 nucleotides) under Bifidobacterium sp. Its description in RNAcentral is "tRNA-Val". It matches the Rfam family "tRNA". From Rfam's summary of the family: Transfer RNA (tRNA) molecules are approximately 80 nucleotides in length. Lineage: Bacteria; Bacillati; Actinomycetota; Actinomycetes; Bifidobacteriales; Bifidobacteriaceae. RNAcentral also lists the same sequence under 1 other name. The record is from RNAcentral.